Non-coding RNA from Cricetulus griseus (Chinese hamster), 315 nucleotides. NCBI's taxonomy places the organism in Eukaryota, Metazoa, Chordata, Mammalia, Rodentia, Cricetidae. The record is from Rfam.
GGAUGAGAAGAAUUUUGCUGCAAUGCCUGCCACUCUGGUUGUAGCCAGAGUUGAUUUGGCUGAUCUGGUCAACUAAGCAGGUGGCCCCUUCCUUCCUCCAAACUUAGUUUACAAGCUACAGGCUCCAUCCAAAAACGAGAUGGCCUUCCCCAAUAGAAGACGAUUCUUUGGUCAAGUGUGUAUGAGUAGCUGUGCUUAUGUACUAGAACUUCAAUAAAAAGCUCCCUUGGUCCAUUUGUAGGAGAAGGGAGGUUAAGCAAGCUUCCAAAACUUCAGAUAUUAUCUAGAUGUGGUACUGCAUAGGUAAAGUUGUCU